Ribosomal RNA from Sorex araneus (European shrew), 115 nucleotides. The record is from Ensembl. NCBI's taxonomy places the organism in Eukaryota, Metazoa, Chordata, Mammalia, Eulipotyphla, Soricidae.
CUUGCCAUACCACCCUGAAUGUAUACGAUCUCAUUUGAUUUUGGAAACUAAGUGGGGUCGGGCCUGGUUAGUACUUGGAUGGGAGACCAAAUGUUCUAACCUGAAAAAUUUAAGU